UUCUUUGCAUACAAUGGGGGAUCUAAGCCUGGAUUCAUGCCCUACCCAGGACAUUUCCUUUUUGUGGCAUGUGAGCAGAGCCGUUACCAACGCUAAGAUUUACUGCUUUGGGGAUCGGUUCAGAACAAAUGUUCCAAACAGCCGUCUGCCUCUGGCAAGGGAAAUAAUAUGUAUGUCUACUUCUGGGGAGCUGAAGAAAUGGGAUAUGGGCUUCCCGGAGAGACAGCUGUUGUGAACAUACACAGAUCUAAAAGAGAGAAAAGAUAAAAAGUUCAUGAAAGCUGGAAACAAAGAAUAAAUGCAAUGUUUGCUUUGAGGUGAAAAAAAAAAAAGACAAAACACAAUUGAGCAAAUAAACUCUCAACGAAAAAUCUACUCCAACACAGAGAUUUAAAGACAGGACUAAAAUGAGUAGGAGUCUGUUAAUCAAUAAGAUUGCUUUAGUCAGAUUUUAAAACUUGAUUUAUCGAGAUAAUCACCAACAUUCUCUUCUGUUGGAGACGUGACCACAUGCCUUCAUCAUAUAGGUAACUAACAUCUUCCUGAAUUUUGGACUCAAAAACAUAUUUCGAUGGUUAGAACUUAUCAAGGGAUUAAAACACUUUCUAAAAGUAGACUCCAUGGAAAACUGCUCAAAUAUCCUUCUAGGAGUUGCCAUCAGUAACAUAUUUUCCAGCCUUCAUCAUUAAAUAUUCUGUAAACCAGCUAAAUGUUUUAUGGCUGUAUAUUUUUUCCUUGAUGUUGCAGCAUUCCUAGCCUAGAAAAUUUACCAUUGCCCUAUUAUUUCUGAGAUUUCUGAGACUGUUGCUAUCUGAUUACUCUUGUUUUACAGGAAGUAGAAAAAGAGAAUGAAACUCUGUAGGGACGGGGAGUGUGGCUUCUUCCAGCAUGGGACUAUUUGUUUUAAUUAAUCUUAAACCAUUUUGACAUGUGCUAAUGGUUGAAUGUAGGUAUCUGGUAGGUGUGUGGCCUGUCGUGCCUCUCCCCUGCUGUUUACUUUAGCGACUUGUCUGUCUGAAAGUUAUGAUACCACAAAGCCUCCUUAGGGUCUUAGAGCAUGAUGUAGCAUGCAGACUUCAAAAAACAGCCCCGAGGGAUACCCCUUUAAGCUGUUGCAGGUAGAACCACUGAGGUGAGGGCAGGAAAGCUUCAAGCGAACAAUGAGGAGGGAAGCUGGUGACUUCAUCCUGGCUUCACCUGGGUGCCCUGAAACAAUUAGGCAACUUCUAUCCAAA
This 1235-nucleotide long non-coding RNA is filed under the name Homo sapiens (human). RNAcentral's name for it is "HSALNT0065107". The record is from RNAcentral. Lineage: Eukaryota; Metazoa; Chordata; Mammalia; Primates; Hominidae.